UACAGAGGGGGCAAGCGUUGUUCGGAAUUACUGGGCGUAAAGGGCUCGUAGGCGGCCAACUAAGUCAUACGUGAAAUCCCUCAGCUUAACUGGGGAACUGCGUGUGAUACUGGAUGGCUUGGAUUUGGGAGAGGGGUGCGGAAUUCCAGGUGUAGCGGUGAAAUGCGUAGAUAUCUGGAGGAACACCGGUGGCGAAGGCGGCAUCCUGGACCAAUAUUGACGCUGAGGAGCGAAAGCCAGGGGAGCAAACGGG
RNAcentral lists this ribosomal RNA (253 nucleotides) under uncultured bacterium. RNAcentral describes it as "partial 16S ribosomal RNA". It matches the Rfam family "Bacterial small subunit ribosomal RNA", at positions 524 to 776 of the family's 1533-position model. The record is from RNAcentral.